UGGGGAAUAUUGCACAAUGGGCGAAAGCCUGAUGCAGCAACGCCGCGUGAGUGAUGAAGGUCUUCGGAUUGUAAAGCUCUGUCUUUUGGGACGAUAAUGACGGUACCAAAGGAGGAAGCCACGGCUAACUACGUGCCAGCAGCCGCGGUAAUACGUAGGUGGCGAGUGUUGUCCGGAUUUACUGGGCGUAAAGGGUGCGUAGGCGGAUGUUUAAGUGAGAUGUGAAAUACCCGGGCUUAACUUGGGUGCUGCAUUUCAAACUGGAUAUCUAGAGUGCAGGAGAGGAGAAUGGAAUUCCUAGUGUAGCGGUGAAAUGCGUAGAGAUUAGGAAGAACACCAGUGGCGAAGGCGAUUCUCUGGACUGUAACUGACGCUGAGGCACGAAAGCGUGGGUAGCAAACAGGAUUAGAUACCCUGGUAGUCCACGCCGUAAACGAUGAGUACUAGGUGUAGGAGGUAUCGACCCCUUCUGUGCCGCAGUAAACACAUUAAGUACUCCGCCUGGGAAGUACGAUCGCAAGAUUAAAACUCUAAAGUGAAUUGAC
RNAcentral lists this ribosomal RNA (545 nucleotides) under uncultured bacterium. RNAcentral describes it as "partial 16S ribosomal RNA". It matches the Rfam family "Bacterial small subunit ribosomal RNA", at positions 355 to 914 of the family's 1533-position model. The record is from RNAcentral.